GAAAAACGAGACGCCCAAGGCAACCCUGCCUCAGUGACAGUGCCUCUGGACUACGAGGGGGAGCCUAAAAUCAAAUUUCUGCAGGGAACUUUCUUCAGUUUUCUAAGCAUCCAAUGUGGAAUUGAAGCUCUCACCAUCUAUGGAAGGAGACAGGAAACACCAGAGAUGAAAUCUGAAAGAGGCAUCUGCGCAGAGCCUGUCCUUGGUCCUCAGCAAUAACACAGGAUCCCACACAGUGAAGCUGAGUCGAGAGAUGAUAGCUCACUACACAAGACCAAUCCGUCUGGGCUUGCUUCACAUGGAUGACAAGGCAAAGGCCUUUCUUUGUUUGUCCCUUGCCUUCCUGUACAACAAGACUGCCAGAAAUCACAGCAGAGAAAUACAUUGCAGGAUAACAAGGUACAUCGCGCAGGACAAACAUCUUUCCAAAAUCCUGUAUAAAAUUAAAUAACUCAAAGUGGCAAGACCAUAGAUUAUAUAAAUUACUGAAAUGGUAGAGUGGAGACGGUUGAUGAAGAUUAAAUUGUCAUUCAACUAUAAGGCUAAUAAGAGCUAGGGAAAAAAAAAAAAAAAAAAAAAAAAGAUUAUAACCACAAUGCAUAAAAAACAAGCAAUCAGCAGAGAAAUGUUGCAUUUUGACAUCCAGUUUCCAUGCACUGUCUUGGACCUGCUUUUCAGAUCUGCUGAGUACCAAGAACUGACAAAACAGACAGUAAGUUUUUUCUGUUCAGAAGCCAAGCUGAAGGAGGGAGGUAGGAAGGGGACACAGGAUGGACCUGGUCCUGCCAUUCCUCAGGUUGCAAGGCCCAGUGAAGAAUUGUGUCCCAGGGAUGGACAUAGUCACGUUGCAAUAUAACCAGCUUCUGAGUGGAGAGGGCUGCCCACGUCCCUCCACCCCCCUGAGAGGCUCUGGAGGCAUUGUUGGGAUGGGAAAGGAGGGAGCAUGAGCACCACGGCUGCCUGAGCCGUGUCGCCGUGGAUAAAUAUGAACCCUCGGUCUCCUCGCCUAUUAGUCUGGCAGUUUGCUCAAGCACUAAAUCCACUUGCACACAAAAAAGGUACAUUCUGCUGCUUUUUCAAGUGUCUUGGAUUCCAUUGUGUACAAAUUUACAAAUGAACUGCUUGAGUGUUGACUAACGCUGCAGCCUGCAGUCAAGGUAAGAGCCUAUUUAUUUAUAUGCUCUUCAAGGACAUGAAGACGCUGUAUUUGUACAAUCUUCCAGUAGGUGCACAGCACACAGCCUAACAAACAGUUACCUGCCGCGGCCAUGUUUCGGAAGAGGACGAUAUAUGAGACCCUCAAGGAAAACACACUGCUUAGCCAGCGUCUGCUGGCAGGAAGGUCAUGCUACGCCUUUUGAUGAUGGCAGAACUGCAAAUGUAGAAAGAAGGAUUUUUUCCCACACUGUCACUUUGAUUGGACGUGUGUCCAGGAGGUUGCUCAGGACAUACAGCUGAGCUGUGCUGGGAGCAGAACAUCCCAGCUGCUGUGUGUGCACAGCACCCACUCAUUUAAAUGAGGCUGUGUGUUUGCAAUCGAUGGGACUGUCUGAUCCCUGGAUGGUAGGGAGCUCUCUUUUUCUAUUUCCUGCUGAUAUUUACUUCAAAGGUGCAUGACCACACGGAUGGCCCUAAUAACAAGAGCCACAAAGAAAAAUUAAUAAAACUCUGAGUGUGUUU
Molecule: non-coding RNA, 1680 nt
Organism: Anas platyrhynchos (mallard)
Lineage: Eukaryota; Metazoa; Chordata; Aves; Anseriformes; Anatidae
Source: RefSeq, a predicted model, not a curated record